AACGCACAUUGCGCCCCCUAGUAUUCUAGAGGGCAUGCCUGUCCGAGCGUCAUUUCACCCCUCAAGCGCUGUUUUGCUUGGAGUUGGGGCCUUGCGGCGAGCACUUAGUGCUUUUGCAAGCCCUGAAAUUCAGCGGCGAGCCCGCCAGCACACCGAGCGCAGUAAGACUACUUUCCGCUCAGGGCGUGCGGCGCGGCGCGGCCGACUUUUUAUAAACUUUUCUGAAAGUUGACCUCGGAUCAGGUAGGACUACCCGCUGAACUUAA
This 266-nucleotide unclassified non-coding RNA is filed under the name uncultured fungus. RNAcentral's name for it is "partial contains 5.8S ribosomal RNA, internal transcribed spacer 2, and large subunit ribosomal RNA". The record is from RNAcentral. Lineage: Eukaryota; Fungi.